CUAAGUCGCUUGAAAGAAUAAUCUGUUCAGAGCUCUUCAAGAGAAGAGGGUUGUGGAUUUUUAAAAAUUAUUUUGGUUGCUUCAUAACAAAAUAUCGAAAUACCAAGUUUCUGAUCUUCACCAAAUGAUCCUUUUACUUACCCGAAGGAAAAAAAUUGGAAGUACUUGGAUCAGCUUCUUUUCUUGAACCUUCUAUUUCAAAUCUGAUGGGGGUCUCAGCCAAGAACUUGGUAGGGUAAAGGGAAAAUUCUUUCUCCUCCUGUGCAACAUUUAAUGACCACUGAGAAGAACCUGGGGAUGAGAUUUACAAUGAUUAACUCUGGCUGCGGCUUCUGUGGAGUGGUAGAUGUGGUUGCUGGGAAACUGAGUGGAAGGAAACUAGAGAAAAGCAAAGCUUUUACAUUUGCAGACUUACCCCGUAUAGAGGGACAACCCAACAAAGAUUGAAAAUGUGUGGAGAAUAAUGUUGAGGGUGGUGGCAAACCAUCCACAGGAGUGACAUGACCUGAGAGCCCACACAAGAAUUGAGGCAGCAAUAUUUUCCAGCAAGCCUGUGCUUCUAUUGCUAAGGGAACUGUGUAAAUCAAAUAAAUGCUGAACCUGUAAUUCA
This 610-nucleotide long non-coding RNA is filed under the name Ursus maritimus (polar bear). RNAcentral's name for it is "lncRNA (ENSUMAG00000009026.1)". Lineage: Eukaryota; Metazoa; Chordata; Mammalia; Carnivora; Ursidae. The record is from RNAcentral.